RNAcentral lists this long non-coding RNA (896 nucleotides) under Callithrix jacchus (white-tufted-ear marmoset). RNAcentral describes it as "lncRNA (ENSCJAG00000070037.1)". The record is from RNAcentral. Lineage: Eukaryota; Metazoa; Chordata; Mammalia; Primates; Cebidae.
AAUUUAUUUUGAAAAGAGGGUUUUUUUUUUUUUUUUUGGCUCAUGGUUCUGGAGACUUGAGAAGUUCAAAAUUGGGCAGCAGCAUCAAGUAGGCUUCUAGGGAGGGCUUCAUGCUGUGUAGUAACAGGGCAGAAGGCAUCACAGGGUGAGGGGGGCAAGAAUGUGCCAGCUCAAGUCCAUCGUCUUCCUACAAAGCCACCAGUCCCACUCCCAUGAUGACCUAUUAAUCCAUUAACCCAUUAACCCAUGAAAAAAUUAAUUCAUUCAUGACAUCUAUGCCCAAAUCAUCUGUUAAAGACCCUUUCUCUUAAUAUUGCCACACUGGCAUUAUGUUUCAACAUGAAUUUUGGAGAAAAAAAAAAUUCAAACCAUAACAGGUUCCCUUUUACACACAUCCUUGCCCCAACACUUAUAUCUUGUCUUCUUUAUAACAACUUCUAUGGUUUGAAUGUGUUCCCUACAAAGCAUGUAUUGAAAACUUAGUCCCCAGUGCAACAGGGUUGAGAGAUGGUGACUUAUGGGAGGUAUUUAUGUCAUCAAGCCUCUACUCUCAUGAAAGGAAUGAGGCCAAUUAUAAAAGGUUUUAGGAUCAUAAGUUUGACAUUUUGCUCCCUUGCUCUUUACCUCUCUUGCCCUGCCAGGGGAUAAUGCAGUAAGAAGGCCCUUACCAGACCCUGAUACCUCAACGUUGGAUUUCCCAGUCUCCAGAACGCUGGAAUCCAGAGAGACUGUCUUUGAAUUCCUCAGGCUAGUCCACCCCUGCAAGGUAACCAUCCUCCCCUCUGGUUGUAGCAGGCAAAUUCUGCCCUCAGUUUAUUUCCUUCUUCCUACCACCUUGAAUCUCACUUUCCUUUCUCUUUCCCAUUCUACCUACAUCAUGGUAUUUUUCUUUUUUC